CUGAGCUAAAAUGUGAGGACUGUGGCCCGGGGCCUUUCUUCCCGAAGGAAGAGAGGGUGCCCGGGAAGUGGGGUGUACAGAGUGCUUCUAGACCCCCAGAGAGGACGUUUCACAUAGGAUCGAAAGGUCCCUUGGAUGAUAGUCGCGAGACUGCUCUGUCGGCACAGCGAUCGACAGACACUGCUGGGUGGCAGGUCUGUUGUCUGGGCCUGGGUGGUCACAGGGGAGCCGGAUGGUCAAAGUUGAGGGCCCUUCCAGUUGUGGCAUGUGGGACGCCGCCUCCACACGGCCCGACGAGCGGUGCCGUGUCCGUGCCGUGCC
RNAcentral lists this long non-coding RNA (321 nucleotides) under Equus asinus (donkey). RNAcentral describes it as "lncRNA (ENSEASG00005026270.1)". The record is from RNAcentral. Lineage: Eukaryota; Metazoa; Chordata; Mammalia; Perissodactyla; Equidae.